Molecule: ribosomal RNA, 462 nt
Filed under: soil bacterium 2V-09
Lineage: Bacteria
Description: bacterial SSU rRNA
Rfam family: Bacterial small subunit ribosomal RNA
Source: RNAcentral
UCAGGAUGAACGCUAGCGGCAGGCCUAAUACAUGCAAGUCGAGGGGCAGCACAGGUAGCAAUACNGGGUGGCGACCGGCAAACGGGUGCGGAACACGUACGCAACCUUCCUUUAAGCGGGGAAUAGCCCAGAGAAAUUUGGAUUAAUACCCCAUAAGAAUGUGAAAUGGCAUCAGNUAGCAUUUAAAGAUUUAUCACUUAAAGAUGGGCGUGCGUCUGAUUAGGUAGUUGGUGAGGUAACGGCUCACCAAGCCGACGAUCAGUAACUGGCGUGAGAGCGCGACCAGUCACACGGGCACUGAGACACGGGCCCGACUCCUACGGGAGGCAGCAGUAAGGAAUAUUGGUCAAUGGACGCAAGUCUGAACCAGCCAUGCCGCGUGGAGGAUGAAGGCCCUCUGGGUUGUAAACUUCUUUUAUCUGGGACGAAACACUUCNUUUCUANGGAGCUGACGGUACCAGG